UGAAAAACUUCAUUAUAUUGCCAUGGUCAU
Molecule: non-coding RNA, 30 nt
Filed under: Rattus norvegicus (Norway rat)
Lineage: Eukaryota; Metazoa; Chordata; Mammalia; Rodentia; Muridae
Source: RNAcentral